Molecule: ribosomal RNA, 479 nt
Filed under: Bacillus pumilus
Lineage: Bacteria; Bacillati; Bacillota; Bacilli; Caryophanales; Bacillaceae
Description: partial 23S ribosomal RNA
Rfam family: Bacterial large subunit ribosomal RNA
Source: RNAcentral
AUGGUUAAGUUAGAAAGGGCGCACGGUGGAUGCCUUGGCACUAGGAGCCGAUGAAGGACGGGACGAACACCGAUAUGCUUCGGGGAGCUGUAAGCAAGCUUUGAUCCGGAGAUUUCCGAAUGGGGAAACCCACUGCUCGUAAUGGAGUAGUAUCCAUACUUGAAUACAUAGAGUAUGAGAAGGCAUACCCGGGGAACUGAAACAUCUAAGUACCCGGAGGAAGAGAAAGCAAAUGCGAUUCCCUGAGUAGCGGCGAGCGAAACGGGAACAGCCCAAACCAAGAGGCUUGCCUCUUGGGGUUGUAGGACACUCUAUACGGAGUUACAAAGGAACGAUAUAAGCGAAGAGGUCUGGAAAGGCCCGCCAAAGAAGGUAACAGCCCUGUAACUGAAAUGUUGUUCUCUCCAGAGUGGAUCCUGAGUACGGCGGAACACGUGAAAUUCCGUCGGAAUCCGGGAGGACCAUCUCCCAAGGCUAAA